ACACAUGACCUCUGUCCUUCCAGCUGCCACCAGUUUCUGGGUUGUCGAGUGAUACCCUGAAAGUUUACAGUCAACACUCCUUGUGUGGGGUCAGUCCUAGAAAUGGCGACGCUGCUCUCCGAAGAUAGGAAAGAAAAGGACCUCAUUCCAUUGAGCCAUUGACCGAAAUAUUUUCUCAACAAAGUUGAACUGAGCUGAAACUGUAAAAUCUACUGGUGGAGUCACUCCAUUAUUCUUAUCUGUGGAGAUCUAGAUCUUGAUUUGAAAGUUUCUGAGAAAAUCUUCAGCUCAGACUUGAGGGUCAACUUUACCAGCUGAAGGAUCUGCAUUUACUGCUCAACCACAUCUAAUUUGAUGUCCUCUGCAGAUUUAAAAUGUGUGCCUUCUUUUCCGUCACCAAGUCAUCCCUGGGUUACUACUGAACAUCCUUCUCAAUUCCCCCCGACCCAUGGAUGGCUGUUCUCCAUUGUCUGUUUCACCAGAUGUCCUCAAAACAAACAGACAGAAGAAGGAAGUGGCUAAUGGAGCUGUGGAGUCCAAGUGUGACUGCCAAGAGGAAUCCAGCAAAGCCAAAAAGCCCAAGCAUGUAGCCCUGCCCGAAGCACGCCACACGCAUGGAAAACCCAGAGGAAAUGAGUGAGGAUCAAUGGGAAGAAGAGAGCCAGCCAGGUUCGAUGCCUUCUCCAUCCGUCAGUGAGGGUGUGGAGAGCCUGCAGGCGUGUGCCUCCCUCUGUAACUUGCUAUUCCUUGUGUAAUGUCAAGUGGAAGUGUGAAGCACCACAAACUGCUCUGAGCAGAGCCCACUUCCCUUCACCCACGGAGAGCGUGAAGCAGUUACACCAACAUCAAUCAAGGAAAACCCACAGGCUGAGCUCACACGGUUGAAGCAGCUCUGUAUUCUAAGAACCUGGAAACAAUCUUUAU
Molecule: long non-coding RNA, 924 nt
Filed under: Homo sapiens (human)
Lineage: Eukaryota; Metazoa; Chordata; Mammalia; Primates; Hominidae
Description: non-protein coding CASC15:54
Source: RNAcentral